UCCUUCUUAGUCCAGUAGGCAGCAUGUCAGUCUUGUAACCUGAAGGUUUUGAGUUCAAACCUCAUAAAAGGCA
This 73-nucleotide transfer RNA is filed under the name Otolemur garnettii (small-eared galago). It matches the Rfam family "tRNA". From Rfam's summary of the family: Transfer RNA (tRNA) molecules are approximately 80 nucleotides in length. Their secondary structure includes four short double-helical elements and three loops (D, anti-codon, and T loops). Further hydrogen bonds mediate the characteristic L-shaped molecular structure. tRNAs have two regions of fundamental functional importance: the anti-codon, which is responsible for specific mRNA codon recognition, and the 3' end, to which the tRNAs corresponding amino acid is attached (by aminoacyl-tRNA synthetases). tRNAs cope with the degeneracy of the genetic code in two manners: having more than one tRNA (with a specific anti-codon) for a particular amino acid; and 'wobble' base-pairing, i.e. permitting non-standard base-pairing at the 3rd anti-codon position. Lineage: Eukaryota; Metazoa; Chordata; Mammalia; Primates; Galagidae. The record is from Rfam by way of RNAcentral.